This 253-nucleotide ribosomal RNA is filed under the name uncultured bacterium. RNAcentral describes it as "partial 16S ribosomal RNA". It matches the Rfam family "Bacterial small subunit ribosomal RNA", at positions 524 to 776 of the family's 1533-position model. The record is from RNAcentral.
UACGAAGGGUGCAAGCGUUACUCGGAAUUACUGGGCGUAAAGCGUGCGUAGGUGGUUUGUUAAGUCUGAUGUGAAAGCCCUGGGCUCAACCUGGGAAUUGCAUUGGAUACUGGCAGGCUAGAGUGUGAUAGAGGAUGGUGGAAUUCCCGGUGUAGCGGUGAAAUGCGUAGAGAUCGGGAGGAACAUCAGUGGCGAAGGCGGCCAUCUGGAUCAACACUGACGCUGAGGCACGAAAGCGUGGGGAGCAAACAGG